GGGUUCCUGGGCUGCAGCCCUGCUCCUCUGAGCUGACAGGAGGACUGGGUAAGUGUGGCAGCCUCCUGUGGAGCUGUGGGCCUGAGUGCUGAGCUGCCCUGGCUGCAGCGCUCAGCCUCUCUGGGCCUGGACUCUGCAGGCCUUCCUCUGGCUGCAGGCAGGUUUGCUUGCUCAGAGCUGAGCCUCCCCGGCACAGUGGAGGUGGAGAAGUCAUUGCUGGGGGUCUCUUAGUGACAGGAUGUGACAUGGAGGUCGGGGGAGGGACAUGUCCACAAGGUCAGGAGGAGCUGCCCCAGCAGCUGGAGCCAAUCAUCAAGGUCAAGCAGCCGGAGGUCAGAUGGCUCGGGACUAGCAGCUGCUGGAGAACCUGGAGGCGCACAGCCUCAAUGAUCCGUGAAACGCGGCAGCACGUGAAGGUGGCCACGUCUGCAUCUUUCCUCAGGAAACUUUUGGAAGAGACAUUCCAUCAAAACAAGAGACCAUAACAAGAAAGACUCAUCUUAAUAGGCAGUGCCCAGCCCUGGCACUGGCCAGUUUCCUGAAAGUUGCCCUCUUCCUCCACAGGGAGUGCCCAGGCGGGGCUGGGGACACCAGGGAGAACCAAGGCAGCAGAAGGGGGUCGAACCCAGACAGCCCAGCCUGAGGGGUCCCUAGGGAGGCGGAGAGCAGGGGGAUGAAAUCAGGAUUCAGGUUCCCAAGGUCCCUUGGUUGUGCCAUGUUUGGGCACCUGGCAAGGAUCCAAUUAUCCAGGUUGGUCACUGCUCAACCCAAAAAAUAGCAGCUGCAGAGGCUGGCCUCAGACCCAGGGGCCUCCCCAGUCCCUGCCUGUCCCCCUCUCCUCGGCCUGCAUUGGGGUGAUCCAAAGCCCUUCCCUGGGGGCAGCUUGGAGCUGCUUCCUCCUGGCCAACCCUGCUUCUUUGGGCUCAGGGGACACCUAUUGACGUUCAGUCACAUGACUGAAGAUCCAGGGAGCCUCAGAGAAGGCCUCCUGCUGAGGUGCGUGCAGUCCCUCCCACCUCCUUCCUCUCUCUGUCCCUUUGCUCCUCCCUCCCCCUUGGGCC
Long non-coding RNA from Myotis davidii, 1061 nucleotides. RefSeq lists it as uncharacterized. The record is from RefSeq and is a predicted model, not a curated record. Lineage: Eukaryota; Metazoa; Chordata; Mammalia; Chiroptera; Vespertilionidae. The transcript is spliced from 3 exons.